Molecule: ribosomal RNA, 483 nt
Filed under: uncultured bacterium
Lineage: Bacteria
Description: partial 16S ribosomal RNA
Rfam family: Bacterial small subunit ribosomal RNA
Source: RNAcentral
UUGAACGCUGGCGGCAGGCCUAACACAUGCAAGUCGAGCGGAUGAAGGGAGCUUGCUCCUGGAUUCAGCGGCGGACGGGUGAGUAAUGCCUAGGAAUCUGUCUGGUAGUGGGGGAUAACGUCCGGAAACGGGCGCUAAUACCGCAUACGUCCUGAGGGAGAAAGUGGGGGAUCUUCGGACCUCACGCUAUCAGAUGAGCCUAGGUCGGAUUAGCUAGUUGGUGGGGUAAAGGCCUACCAAGGCGACGAUCCGUAACUGGUCUGAGAGGAUGAUCAGUCACACUGGAACUGAGACACGGUCCAGACUCCUACGGGAGGCAGCAGUGGGGAAUAUUGGACAAUGGGCGAAAGCCUGAUCCAGCCAUGCCGCGUGUGUGAAGAAGGUCUUCGGAUUGUAAAGCACUUUAAGUUGGGAGGAAGGGCAGUAAGUUAAUACCUUGCUGUUUUGACGUUACCAACAGAAUAAGCACCGGCUAACUUCGUG